RNAcentral lists this long non-coding RNA (665 nucleotides) under Trifolium pratense (red clover). RNAcentral describes it as "long non-coding RNA (TPRA_LNC004719)". The record is from RNAcentral. Lineage: Eukaryota; Viridiplantae; Streptophyta; Magnoliopsida; Fabales; Fabaceae.
AAUGGAAAUAUUAGAUCUAGUUAAAGAUGUGGCUACCCUCGCAAGAGCAUGAGCUGCCUCAUUUACUUGUCUCCUAUCAAACUCAACAUGAGAGUUUUCAAAAUACAAACUAAAAACACGUUUAGAUUCAUUCAACACAAACACCAAAUUCUGUAACAUCAUUUUGGCCUUUGUGAAAAUAAUUAACGACCUUUUUCGAUUCCAACACAAAAUCGACUCCUUCCAAUUGUAGUUCAUGAACCCAAUUGAUAGUGUGUAACAAUCCCAAAGCUUCUUCUAGAUCCACCUCACAUGUAGGUGAGGACCACAUUGUUUUAGCAAGCACAAAUCGACCUUCAUCAUCUCGUAUACAGAUGCCAAAAUCAAUGUGAUUUCGUUGUUUUCUGAAGGAGGCAUCAAUAUUGCAUUUAUAUCUUCCGGCUUCUUUGUUUUUUCCACCAAAUUUCACUGUUGUGCUCUUCAUGCACACUACUGUUGUUGUUACCCAUACCAACAGUUGGGUGUUUCAACUUAAUAGAAUUAGCAAGCCUCCAAUCUUCAAUCAUGUGUUUUGCGUGGUCAAAAAUCUGCAAAUUCUCUGUUACAUUAUUCCAUAAUUUCAAAUUUUGAUGUUAAGUUCCAUAUGCACCACACAAUCACAGCCCAUAAUGCUGCUUGUUUUAUAU